GACGAACGCUGGCGGUGUGCUUAACACAUGCAAGUCGAACGGAAAGGCCCUGCUUUUGUGGGGUGCUCGAGUGGCGAACGGGUGAGUAACACGUGAGUAACCUGCCCUUGACUUUGGGAUAACUUCAGGAAACUGGGGCUAAUACCGGAUAGGAGCUCCUGCUGCAUGGUGGGGGUUGGAAAGUUUCGGCGUUUGGGGAUGGACUCGCGGCUUAUCAGCUUGUUGGUGGGGUAGUGGCUUACCAAGGCUUUGACGGGUAGCCGGCCUGAGAGGGUGACCGGCCACAUUGGGACUGAGAUACGGCCCAGACUCCUACGGGAGGCAGCAGUGGGGAAUAUUGCACAAUGGGCGGAAGCCUGAUGCAGCAACGCCGCGUGCGGGAUGACGGCCUUCGGGUUGUAAACCGCUUUCGCCUGUGACGAAGCGUGAGUGACGGUAAUGGGUAAAGAAGCACCGGCUAACUACGUG
This 468-nucleotide ribosomal RNA is filed under the name uncultured bacterium. RNAcentral's name for it is "partial 16S ribosomal RNA". It matches the Rfam family "Bacterial small subunit ribosomal RNA", at positions 28 to 507 of the family's 1533-position model. The record is from RNAcentral.